GACGAACGCUGGCGGCGUGCUUAACACAUGCAAGUCGAACGGAAAGGCCUCAGCUUGCUGGGGUACUCGAGUGGCGAACGGGUGAGUAACACGUGGGUGAUCUGCCUUGCACUCUGGGAUAAGCUUGGGAAACUGGGUCUAAUACCGGAUAUGAACUGCCUUUAGUGUGGUGGUUGGAAAGUUUUUUCGGUGCAAGAUGAGCUCGCGGCCUAUCAGCUUGUUGGUGGGGUAAUGGCCUACCAAGGCGUCGACGGGUAGCCGGCCUGAGAGGGUGUACGGCCACAUUGGGACUGAGAUACGGCCCAGACUCCUACGGGAGGCAGCAGUAGGGAAUAUUGCACAAUGGGCGGAAGCCUGAUGCAGCGACGCCGCGUGGGGGAUGACGGCCUUCGGGUUGUAAACUCCUUUCGACAGGGACGAAGCUUUUUGUGACGGUACCUGUAUAAGAAGCACCGGCUAACUACGUG
Molecule: ribosomal RNA, 467 nt
Filed under: uncultured bacterium
Lineage: Bacteria
Description: partial 16S ribosomal RNA
Rfam family: Bacterial small subunit ribosomal RNA
Source: RNAcentral